Molecule: ribosomal RNA, 1196 nt
Filed under: Aggregatibacter actinomycetemcomitans
Lineage: Bacteria; Pseudomonadati; Pseudomonadota; Gammaproteobacteria; Pasteurellales; Pasteurellaceae
Description: bacterial SSU rRNA
Rfam family: Bacterial small subunit ribosomal RNA
Source: RNAcentral
UGCUGACGAGUGGCGGACGGGUGAGUAAUGCUUGGGGAUCUGUCUUAUGGAGGGGGAUAACGACGGGAAACUGUCGCUAAUACCGCGUAGAGUCGGGAGACGAAAGUGCGGGACCUUAGGGCCGCAUGCCAUGAGAUGAGCCCAAGUGUGAUUAGGUAGUUGGUGGGGUAAAGGCCUACCAAGCCGACGAUCGCUAGCUGGUCUGAGAGGAUGGCCAGCCACACCGGGACUGAGACACGGCCCGGACUCCUACGGGAGGCAGCAGUGGGGAAUAUUGCGCAAUGGGGGCAACCCUGACGCAGCCAUGCCGCGUGAAUGAAGAAGGCCUUCGGGUUGUAAAGUUCUUUCGGUGAUGAGGAAGGUUGGUGUGUUAAUAGCAUGCCAACUUGACGUUAAAUACAGAAGAAGCACCGGCUAACUCCGUGCCAGCAGCCGCGGUAAUACGGGGGGUGCUAGCGUUAAUCGGAAUAACUGGGCGUAAAGGGCACGUAGGCGGACCUUUAAGUGAGGUGUGAAAUCCCCGGGCUUAACCUGGGAAUUGCAUUUCAUACUGGGGGUCUGGAGUACUUUAGGGAGGGGUAGAAUUCCACGUGUAGCGGUGAAAUGCGUAGAGAUGUGGAGGAAUACCGAAGGCGAAGGCAGCCCCUUGGGGAUGUACUGACGCUGAUGUGCGAAAGCGUGGGGAGCAAACAGGAUUAGAUACCCUGGUAGUCCACGCUGUAAACGGUGUCGAUUUGGGGAUUGGGGUUUAGCCCUGGUGCCCGAAGCUAACGUGAUAAAUCGACCGCCUGGGGAGUACGGCCGCAAGGUUAAAACUCAAAUGAAUUGACGGGGGCCCGCACAAGCGGUGGAGCAUGUGGUUUAAUUCGAUGCAACGCGAAGAACCUUACCUACUCUUGACAUCCGAAGAAGAACUCAGAGAUGGGUUUGUGCCUUAGGGAGCUUUGAGACAGGUGCUGCAUGGCUGUCGUCAGCUCGUGUUGUGAAAUGUUGGGUUAAGUCCCGCAACGAGCGCAACCCUUAUCCUUUGUUGCCAGCGAUUAGGUCGGGAACUCAAAGGAGACUGCCGGUGAUAAACCGGAGGAAGGUGGGGAUGACGUCAAGUCAUCAUGGCCCUUACGAGUAGGGCUACACACGUGCUACAAUGGCGUAUACAGAGGGUAACCAACCAGCGAUGGGGAGUAAUCUCAGAAAGU